CCUGAACUAAAGAUAGAAACAGCU
Molecule: non-coding RNA, 24 nt
Filed under: Cricetulus griseus (Chinese hamster)
Lineage: Eukaryota; Metazoa; Chordata; Mammalia; Rodentia; Cricetidae
Source: RNAcentral